CGUACGUUAGCGGCGGACGGGUGAGUAACACGUGGGUAACCUACCUAUAAGACUGGGAUAACUUCGGGAAACCGGAGCUAAUACCGGAUAAUAUUUCGAACCGCAUGGUUCGAUAGUGAAAGAUGGUUUUGCUAUCACUUAUAGAUGGACCCGCGCCGUAUUAGCUAGUUGGUAAGGUAACGGCUUACCAAGGCGACGAUACGUAGCCGACCUGAGAGGGUGAUCGGCCACACUGGAACUGAGACACGGUCCAGACUCCUACGGGAGGCAGCAGUC
RNAcentral lists this ribosomal RNA (276 nucleotides) under uncultured Staphylococcus sp. RNAcentral describes it as "partial 16S ribosomal RNA". It matches the Rfam family "Bacterial small subunit ribosomal RNA", at positions 86 to 355 of the family's 1533-position model. Lineage: Bacteria; Bacillati; Bacillota; Bacilli; Caryophanales; Staphylococcaceae. The record is from RNAcentral.